GACGAACGCUGGCGGCGUGCUUAACACAUGCAAGUCGAACGGAAAGGCCCUGCUUGCAGGGUACUCGAGUGGCGAACGGGUGAGUAACACGUGGGUGAUCUGCCCUGCACUUCGGGAUAAGCCUGGGAAACUGGGUCUAAUACCGGAUAGGAGCCAUUUUUAGUGUGAUGGUUGGAAAGUUUUCUCGGUGUAGGAUGAGCUCGCGGCCUAUCAGCUUGUUGGUGGGGUAAUGGCCUACCAAGGCGGCGACGGGUAGCCGGCCUGAGAGGGUGGACGGCCACAUUGGGACUGAGAUACGGCCCAGACUCCUACGGGAGGCAGCAGUGGGGAAUAUUGCACAAUGGGCGCAAGCCUGAUGCAGCGACGCCGCGUGGGGGAUGACGGCCUUCGGGUUGUAAACUCCUUUCGCUAGGGACGAAGCUUUUUGUGACGGUACCUAGAGAAGAAGCACCGGCUAACUACGUG
This 465-nucleotide ribosomal RNA is filed under the name uncultured bacterium. Its description in RNAcentral is "partial 16S ribosomal RNA". It matches the Rfam family "Bacterial small subunit ribosomal RNA", at positions 28 to 507 of the family's 1533-position model. The record is from RNAcentral.